Molecule: microRNA precursor, 97 nt
Filed under: Equus asinus (donkey)
Lineage: Eukaryota; Metazoa; Chordata; Mammalia; Perissodactyla; Equidae
Also listed under: 1 other name
Description: mir-544 microRNA precursor family
Rfam family: mir-544 microRNA precursor family
Source: Rfam by way of RNAcentral
AUCACCUGGAGAUCUUGUUAAAAGGCAAAAUCUGACUCAGCAGGUCUGGGGUCAGCCUGAGAUUCUGCAUUUCCAACAAGCUCCCAGGGGAUGCUGA